AUGACGGCGAUCACGUCCGGCACCACCACCACCACCACCGCGCCCGCGCCCAUCACCCCCACGGCGGAUCCGCCCCCACUAUUCUCGCCCGAGGAGAUGUCGACCACUCUGCGGGAGCUUGUCCAGGCGGUCAGGGGCAUUACCCUCUACCUCGCCGGGAACCAGCCCCCGCCACCAAGCGCCGUCUACGGGCCGCCGCCGCUGCCAUGGGCCGCACCGGCCUUCCAGGCGCCCUACGGAGGGGCGCCCCAGCCGCCGCUGCUGCUACCGCAUUACUCGGCCACGGGACAGCCUUGGCCAGCGUGGCCCGCCUCCACCGCGCCGCUGGGGGGCCCGACCCAGCAGUUUCUUCCAGCGCCACCGCCGGCCCCCACGACACAGACGCCGGUGCAGCAGCUCCCCCAGGCGCCGCCACCAUCGACAGCCCCACCACCCGCGUCUAGGGCCACGGGUCGGCCCCUGCACCAGGUGCAGUUUCCACCGUCACCAUCGCCGAUCCUCGCGUGGGCGACCGGUUCGUCUCCGGGCCCGGUAUACUCCAUGGCGCCGGACCACCCAACGCCCUCCCUGCGGUUUGAUCACCCCUCCAGCUCGGCGACCUACGCCCCGGCGUACGCGCUGCCGGCGACUGCGGCCGCCCCCGGCCACGGCGGGCCAACACCCCCUCGCUUCGCCAAACUGGACUUUGCCACCUACGAGGGCACGGAGGACCCCCUCAACUGGCUCAACCAGUGCGAGCAGUUCUUUCGAGGGCAGCGGACGCUCGCAUCGGAUCGUACCUGGCUCGCGUCCUAUCAUCUCCGAGGCGCAGCGCAGACCUGGUACUACGCCCUUGAGCAGGACGAGGGCGGCAUGCCACCAUGGGAGCGCUUCCGGGAGCUCUGUCUCCUCCGCUUCGGGCCUCCGAUCCGCGGGAGCCGCCUGGCGGCCCUCGGCCGUUUACCCUUCACAUCCACGGUGCAGGACUACGCCGACCGCUUUCAGGCCCUGGCGUGCCACGCGCCGGGCGUCUCCGCGACUCAACGCGCCGAGCUAUUUGUGGGCGGUCUACCGGACCAUAUUCGCGUGGACGUCGAGCUACGGGACCCCCCCGAUCUCCAGACGGCCAUGUACUAUGCCCGCGCAUUCGAGCGCCGCGCGGUGGCCAUUCAGCCGGACUCACCGUUUCGGGCCGCUGGCUCACUACCUUCGCUGGAUUCUGCACCAGGACGGCCUGUGCAGGCUUCCGCGGCACCCCUUGCCGCGACCGCGGCACCUCCCGCCGCAACCGCGGCGCGUCCGUUCCGCCGGCUCACCCCAGCCGAGAUACUCAAGCGUCGCCGCCAAGGGUUGUGCUUCAACAGCGACGAACCCUACAAGCCCGGCCACGCCUGCCCGCGACUCUUCUACCUGGAGGUAGCAGACUACAUUCCGGAGGACGCCGUCGCCGCCGACCUGGCCGCCCCAGAUGUCGAGAAGGGGUUUGAUGCUGGUUGA
This 1476-nucleotide ribosomal RNA is filed under the name Triticum aestivum (bread wheat). Its description in RNAcentral is "partial small subunit ribosomal RNA". The record is from RNAcentral. Lineage: Eukaryota; Viridiplantae; Streptophyta; Magnoliopsida; Poales; Poaceae.